RNAcentral lists this ribosomal RNA (309 nucleotides) under uncultured archaeon. RNAcentral describes it as "bacterial SSU rRNA". It matches the Rfam family "Archaeal small subunit ribosomal RNA", at positions 526 to 834 of the family's 1478-position model. The record is from RNAcentral.
CUGCCAUGUAAGUCCACUGUGAAAUCCACGCGCUCAACGUGUGGACGUGCAGCGGAUACUGCAUGGCUUGGGACCGGAAGGCGUCGAGGCUAUUCCAGGAGUAGGAGUGAAAUCCAAAAAUUCCUGGAGGAGCACCUGUGGCGAAAGCGCUCGGCGAUUACGGAUCCGACGGUGAGGGACGAAAGCCAGGGGAGCAAAGGGGAUUAGAUACCCUCGUAGUCCUGGCCGUAAACAAUGUGCGUUUGAUGUCGGCUAACCUCCGUGGUUAGCCGGUGCCGAAGUAAAAACGUUAAACGCACCGCCUGGGUA